CAGUCGCCGCGGUAAUACAGAGGGUGCGAGCGUUAAUCGGAUUUACUGGGCGUAAAGCGUGCGUAGGCGGCUUUUUAAGUCGGAUGUGAAAUCCCUGAGCUUCACUUAGGAAUUGCAUUCGAUACUGGGAAGCUAGAGUAUGGGAGAGGAUGGUAGAAUUCCAGGUGUAGCGGUGAAAUGCGUAGAGAUCUGGAGGAAUACCGAUGGCGAAGGCAGCCAUCUGGCCUAAUACUGACGCUGAGGUACGAAAGCAUGGGGAGCAAACAGGAUUAGAUACCCCGGUAGUCCCUGUCUCUUAUAC
This 301-nucleotide ribosomal RNA is filed under the name uncultured bacterium. RNAcentral's name for it is "partial 16S ribosomal RNA". It matches the Rfam family "Bacterial small subunit ribosomal RNA", at positions 509 to 807 of the family's 1533-position model. The record is from RNAcentral.